This is a long non-coding RNA of Homo sapiens (human), 731 nucleotides long. Ensembl annotates it as long intergenic non-protein coding RNA 1896. The record is from Ensembl. Lineage: Eukaryota; Metazoa; Chordata; Mammalia; Primates; Hominidae.
GCGGCCGUGCACCCGCCGCGCUCCUUCCCGCGCGUGUCCUCUCUCCCCGAGCGGCCGCCAGGAUGUGCCCCCGGCCCCGUCGUCGCCGCGCCCGCGCCCCUCGCCCCAGUGUGGACGUGGGGAGGAUCUUCUAAGUCCCUCCAACGAAGGCAAGUGUGAGACUCUGGCCCUUUAUUUGUAAGAAGCAAGCCUUCAGAUUGCAGAAGUGUCGCGCGGGUCGCCGUGCGUUGCGCGAGUGGGAAGAUGGAGGAGGCCGGCACGCUGCUUUCGUGGACGCAAGUGAACCGGGCGUGAAGGCAGGGUGCGAGCUCUGCCCUUGGCCCAGCCCUGCGUGGGCGCCGUCCCAGAUUCCGGGCGGUGCGGGGUGCAGAGAUCUGGAGAGACUUGCGGGCUCCCCAGCGCAGGCUGCUCUGGGAUUUCGUUGGAAGAUCCGGCAGAGCCUUGGAGGAGAGGGCCCGGGAGGCUGUGUGUGCAGCGGAAACUUGUACGAAUGCCCCCACAGCGGAAAUGGUGCGCACGAGUAAUUUCUGCGGUGCACCCUUUUAAAAAUUGACAAGUGAACAAGAUCAAUUUUUUAAGAAAGCAAAGGUAGAAAACAAAAGGCGUGCGACUUCUUGACUGGCUUGUUCCCGCCUUUCUUCCUUCUCUAUACUCAGAUCAGAAACUUUUCUUUAAUUGCUCUUAUUCAGUGCGACAACUUUUAAUAAAAGCAUUUGCAUUUUAAGCCUGAG